Molecule: unclassified non-coding RNA, 224 nt
Filed under: fungal sp.
Lineage: Eukaryota; Fungi
Description: partial internal transcribed spacer region
Rfam family: Eukaryotic small subunit ribosomal RNA (bases 1-46)
Source: RNAcentral
AAGUCGUAACAAGGUCUCCGUAGGUGAACCUGCGGAGGGAUCAUUACCGAGUGAGGGCCCCCGCGCCCGACCUCCAACCCCAUUGUGACCCGACUCUGUUGCCUCGGGGGCGACCCGGCCUUCGGGCCCGGGGCCCCCGGCGGACCCCUCAACGCUGCAUCUUUGCGUCUGAGUCUGAUAUUCAAAUGAAAUCAAAACUUUCAACAACGGAUCUCUUGGUUCUG